RNAcentral lists this unclassified non-coding RNA (275 nucleotides) under uncultured Geastrales. RNAcentral describes it as "sequence contains 5.8S rRNA gene, ITS2, 28S rRNA gene". The stretch from base 1 to 52 matches the Rfam family "5.8S ribosomal RNA", at positions 103 to 154 of the family's 154-position model. Lineage: Eukaryota; Fungi; Basidiomycota; Agaricomycetes; Geastrales. The record is from RNAcentral.
AACGCAUCUUGCGCUCCUUGGUAUUCCGAGGAGCAUGCCUGUUUGAGUGUCAUGAAAUCAUCUCAAUUUCAAUCUUGUUAUUGAAAUUGGACUUGGGUGUUGUUGUGAGUCACACAACUCAUCCUAAAUGCAUUAGCGAUCUGUCUGUGAUCACACACAAUGUGAUAAGUAAAAAGCAUUGUUACAAUCGAGUCAGGAUGGCUUCGAACCGUCUGAAAGGACAUUCUUUCAUGUCAGUUGACCUCGGAUCAGGUAGGGAUACCCGCUGAACUUAA